AAAAAAAAAUCUUAUAUUUGGGAGGUUUAAUUCUGGGCUUUCUAUUCUGUCCCAUUGCUCUGGCUGUCUAUUUUUAUGCCACCACCAUGGUGUUUUAAUAGUGUUUUAUAGAUUGUAGUAGAGUUUGAAAUGAGGAACUCUGAUGCCUCUGGUUUUGUUCUUUGUCAGGAUUCUUUUGGCUAUUCAGUUCUUUUCUGUUCCAUAAAAAGCUUAGAAUUGAUUUUUCUGUUUCUGUGGAGAAUGCCAUUGAAUCUUUCAGAGAGAUUUCUUUGACUCUACAGGUGGCAUUAAGGACCUUUUAAUCUUACAAAUUCCUCUGAUCUAUGAUCUUCCCAUUUAUUAGUGUCUUCAAUUUAUUUUAUGUCUUGUAGUGUUCAAUGAAGAGACUUUCCCCAACUUUGUUAAAUUUAUUUCAAGGUAUUUUAUCAUUUUUGAUGCUAUCAUAAAUUAGAUACUUUUUAUUUUUUCAGAUGUUUUGCUAGUUGUUUAUAGAAAUACAAUUGAUGUAUAUUGAUUUUAUAUACUGCAAUUUUACCUACUUUGGGAUUCCUUGGGAUAUUUUAAUACACUAAAUAAUACUAUCUUCAAAUAAUGAAAUAUUUAGUUCUUCUGAUUUGGAUGCCUUUCUUUGUCUUGCCUAAUUGCUCCAGCUAAUACUUCCAGUGCUGUUUUGGAGAAGAGUGAAUAAGUGGGCAUCACUGUCUUGUUCAUCUUAGAAGAACAGCUUUAACCUUUCUACCAUUGAGUGUGAUGUUAGUCAUGGGCUUGUUACAUGUGGCCUUAAUUAUGUUAGGGAUCUUCCUGCCAGACUCAAUCUGUUCAGAGUUUAUAAUCAUAAGAGAACUUCCCCUUGUCCAGUGCUUUCUCUGCAUCUAUUGAAAUGAUCAGGAUUUUAAUUUUUUACUCUAUUAAUGUGGUGUAUCCCACAUACAUGUGUAUGUUGAACCAUUCUUACAUCCCACUUGAUCACAAUGUAUAAUAAUUCACAAUGUAUUGUGGAAUUCGACUUGCUGAUAUUUUGUUUAGAAUUUUUACAUCUAUAUUAAUCAGCGUUAUUGGCCUGUAGUUUUUUUUGCUUGUAGAAUCUUUAUCUGGCUUUGAUAUCCUGGAAAUGCUGGCCUCAUAGAACAAGUUUGAAAGUAUUCCUUUCUUUUCAGUUUUCUGGAAGAGUUUGAGAAUUAUUGGUGUUAACUCCUCUUCAUAGGAUUGGUAGAAUUCACCAGUAAAGUCGUCUGGUUCCUGAGUUUCCUGUGUUCGGAGUUUUUUGAUUAUUGAUUCAAUCCCUUGUUUUUGGUGUGUUCAGGUUUUCUGUUUUUUCUUGAUUCAGUCUUGAUAGGUAGUGAGUUUCUAGGAAUUAUCAGUUUCUUCUAGAGUAUCUAAUUUGUUGGCAUAUAAUUGUUCCUAGUAGUCUCUUAUGAUGUUGUGUUUCUGUAGCAUCAGGUGUAAUGUCUCCUCCCUCAUUUCUAAUCUUGGGUCUUCUCUCUUUUUUCCUAGUCUAGCUAAAAGUUUGUGAAUUUUAUGGUUUUUAAAAUCUAGCUUUAAUUUGUUGAUCCUUCGUAUUGAUUUUCUCGUAUAUAUUUUAUUUUACUCUAUAAUCUUUCUUACAUCCUUCCUUUGGUAACUUUGGAGUAAAUUUCUUCUUUUUCUAGUUCUUUGAGGUUGAUUGCUUUGAGAACUUUCUAAUUUCUUGUCAUGCACUUAUUGCUAUAAACUUUCCUCUCUGAACUGCUUUUGCAGCAUUCUUUAGGAUUGAGUAUGCUGUAUUUCCACUUUCAUUUAAUGUUUUUAAAAAAUUUUCUAUUUAGAUUUCUUUUUUGACCCACUGAAUAUUCAGAAGUGUACUGUUUAGUUUCUAUGUAUUUGUAGACUUUCCAGAUACUGUCUUGUUGAUUUCUAGUUGUGUACCAUUGUGUUCAGAUAGCGGGUAUAAUAUGGAUCUCCUUAAAUUUGCUAAGACGUGUUUGUGUCCUAUUAUAUAUGACCUGUUGUGGAGUAUGUUCCAUGUACACUUGAGAGUAAAUUGUUGGAUGAAGUGUUCUAUAUAUGCCUGAAAAGUCCUUUUGUUGUAACAUAUAGACCAGUGUUUUCUUGUUGACUUACCAUAUGGGGUGAUCUAUCCAUUGCUGCGAGUGGAGUAUUGAAGUCCCCUACUGGUAUUGAAGUGUCUGUUUCUCCCAUCAGAUCUGUUUUUGCUUAUAUUUGGUGCUCUGUGUUGGGUGUGUAUAUAUUUACAAUUGUUAUUUCUUCUUGCUGUAUUGACCCUUGUAUCAUCACAUAAUGACCUUCUUUGUGUCUUUUAUUGUUUUUGGCUUAACAUCUAUUUCAUGUACCUAGGGCUAGCCUCACAUUAUUUAGCUUCCACUUGCAUGGAAUAUAAUCUUCCAUCUGUCAUUACUUUGAGUUUAUGUGUCUUUAAAGCAGAAACGAGUGUCUUAUAUGCAGAAUAUAAUUGGGCCUUAUUUUUUUUUUUUUAUCCAGCCAGCCACUCUAUGGUUUUAAUUUGUGAAUUAAGUCCAUUUACAUUUAGAGUGAUUUUUGUUAUGGAAGGGCUUAUUACUACCACCAGUUUUUUGCUUUCUGAUUUUGUAUUUCCAUUGUAUCUUUUCCCCUUCCGUGUCUACCUUUGUAAAUUGGUGGUUUACCAUGUUGGUAAGCUUUUUAAAUGUUUGUGAUCCUACUAAAGAUUUUUGCUUUGUGGUUAGCAUGAGGCAUACAUAAAACAUCUCAUAGUUAAAAACAGUCCAUUUUAUACUGAUAGAAACUUAUCUUUGCAUUCUUAUAAAUGUUCCAUUCCCUUAUUCUCUUCCUUUUAUAUUUUUUAUGUCACAGUAUACUUCAUUUUAUUCUGCAUAUUUGUUAAAAAGCUAUUGUAAGAGUUCCUGCUAUGGCAUAGUGGGUUAAGGAGUUGGCAUUGUCUCUGUGGUAGCUCAGGUUGCUGCUGAGGCACGAGUUUGAUCCCUGGCCCAGCAACUUCCAUAUGCUCUGGGUGCAGCUGAAAAAUUAAAAAAAGAAAAAGAAAAA
RNAcentral lists this long non-coding RNA (3021 nucleotides) under Sus scrofa (pig). RNAcentral describes it as "lncRNA (ENSSSCG00050009433.1)". Lineage: Eukaryota; Metazoa; Chordata; Mammalia; Artiodactyla; Suidae. The record is from RNAcentral.